GAUGAAGAACGUAGCAAAAUGCGAUACUUGGUGUGAAUUGCAGAAUCCCGUGAACCAUCGAGUUUUUGAACGCAAGUUGCGCCCGAAGCCUUUUGGCCGAGGGCACGUCUGCCUGGGCGUCACGCAUCGCGUCGCCCCCCACAAUUCUCCGUAAAGGGAACGUGUGUUUUGGGGGCGGAUAUUGGUCUCCCGUGCUCAUGGCGUGGUUGACCGAAAUAGGAGUCCUUUCGAUGGACGCACGAACUAGUGGUGGUAGUAAAACCCCUCGUCUUUUGUUUCGUGCUGUUGCUCGCAAGGUAAACUCUUUAAAAACCCCAAUGUGUCGUCUCUUGACGACGCUUCGACCGCGACCCCAGGUCAGGCGGGACUACCCGCUGAGUUUAAGCAUAUCAAUAAGCGGAGGA
This 404-nucleotide unclassified non-coding RNA is filed under the name soil metagenome. RNAcentral's name for it is "partial contains 5.8S ribosomal RNA, internal transcribed spacer 2, and large subunit ribosomal RNA". The stretch from base 1 to 122 matches the Rfam family "5.8S ribosomal RNA", at positions 35 to 154 of the family's 154-position model. The record is from RNAcentral.